ACCAGACUCCUACGGGAGGCAGCAGUGAGGAAUAUUGGUCAAUGGCCGAAGGGCUGAACCAGCCAAGCCGCGUGAAGGAAUAAGGCCCUACGGGUCGUAAACUUCUUUAGUCAGGGAACAAAGGGUGCCACGUGUGGCGCUGUGAGUGUACCUGAAGAAUAAGCAUCGGCUAACUCCGUGCCAGCAGCCGCGGUAAUACGGAGGAUGCGAGCGUUAUCCGGAUUUAUUGGGUUUAAAGGGCGCGUAGGCGGUUUGUCAAGUCAGCGGUAAAAAUUCCGGGCUCAACCCCGUACUGCCGUUGAAACUGCAUCCCUUGAGUGCGCGAGAAGUAUGCGGAAUGCGUGGUGUAGCGGUGAAAUGCAUAGAUAUCACGCAGAACUCCGAUUGCGAAGGCAGCAUACCGGCGCGCAACUGACGCUCAUGCACGAAAGCGUGGGUAUCGAACAGGAUUAGAUACCCCUGUA
This 464-nucleotide ribosomal RNA is filed under the name uncultured bacterium. Its description in RNAcentral is "bacterial SSU rRNA". It matches the Rfam family "Bacterial small subunit ribosomal RNA", at positions 330 to 792 of the family's 1533-position model. The record is from RNAcentral.